RNAcentral lists this long non-coding RNA (627 nucleotides) under Homo sapiens (human). RNAcentral's name for it is "HSALNT0212994". The record is from RNAcentral. Lineage: Eukaryota; Metazoa; Chordata; Mammalia; Primates; Hominidae.
GCUCACUCCUAUAAUCUCAGCACUUCAGGAGGCUGAGCUGAGAGGAUCACUUGAGCCCAGGAGUUCAAGACCAGCCUGGAGAACAAAGCAAGACCCAGUCUCUACACGAAAUAAAAAAUAACUAGCCAGGCAUGGUGGUGUACACCUGUAGUUCCAGCUACUCAGGAGGCUGAGGUGGAUCCUUUGAACCCAGGAGUUCAACAACGCAGUGAGCCAUGAUCGCGCUACUACACUCCAGCCUGGGCAACAGAGCCAGACCUUGUCUCCAAAACAACAACAAACCUUCUUUCUGAGAAAUUUCUGAUUUUAAACCCCUGCUUUUGUGGAUCUCUCCUUUACUCUUUCUCAUUCAACUGACAAGUCAACAUUGCACUCGUACUCAAGUAUGCUGUCAUUUCACUUUUGACCAGAUCCUAAGCUACUCUCCACACCGCACACAGAAGGGUCCCCAGGAAGAAGGUGUGGCAUGGGCUGACGGAAAGCUACGGGACUUACCUAGAGACACAGGAAACCCAGCCUCACUACCCUUGCUUCUCAACCCUGCUCAAAGUCCGUCCUCAUUCUCAUCAAGAUCACCAUUGUCCCAUCCUGGUUAACACGGUGAAACCCUGCCUCUACUAAAAAUAC